CCUACGGGUGGCAGCAGUGAGGAAUAUUGGUCAAUGGGCGAGAGCCUGAACCAGCCAAGUCGCGUGAGGGAGUACUGCCCUAUGGGUUGUAAACCUCUUUUGUCGGGGAGCAAAAGCCGGACGUGUCCGGCUGUGAGAGUACCCGAAGAAAAAGCAUCGGCUAACUCCGUGCCAGCAGCAGCGGUAAUACGGAGGAUGCGAGCGUUAUCCGGAUUUAUUGGGGUUAAAGGGUGCGCAGGCGGAUUUUUAAGUCAGCGGUCAAAUCGUGGGGCUCAACCCCAUCCAGCCGUUGAAACUGGGGAUCUAGAGUGUGCGAGAGGGAUGCGGAAUGCGUGGUGUAGCGGUGAAAUGCAUAGAUAUCGCGCAGAACCCCGAUGGCGAAGGCAGCGUGCCGUGCCGCCACUGACGCUGAGGCACGAAAGCGCGGGGAGCGAACAGGAUUAGAUACCCGAGUAGUC
Molecule: ribosomal RNA, 458 nt
Filed under: uncultured bacterium
Lineage: Bacteria
Description: partial 16S ribosomal RNA
Rfam family: Bacterial small subunit ribosomal RNA
Source: RNAcentral